Molecule: ribosomal RNA, 471 nt
Filed under: Prevotella sp. canine oral taxon 226
Lineage: Bacteria; Pseudomonadati; Bacteroidota; Bacteroidia; Bacteroidales; Prevotellaceae
Description: bacterial SSU rRNA
Rfam family: Bacterial small subunit ribosomal RNA
Source: RNAcentral
GAGUUUGAUUCUGGCUCAGGAUGAACGCUAGCUACAGGCUUAACACAUGCAAGUCGAGGGGCAGCAUGAAGUCAGCUUGCUGACUUUGAUGGCGACCGGCGCACGGGUGCGUAACGCGUAUCAAACCUGCCGCAUACUCGGGGAUAGCCUUGCGAAAGUAAGAUUAAUACCCGAUGUUAUUAUGCCCUCGCAUGAGGGUGUAAUCAAAGAUUUUAUCGGUAUGCGAUGGUGAUGCGUCUGAUUAGGUAGUAGGCGGGGUAACGGCCCACCUAGCCAACGAUCAGUAGGGGUUCUGAGAGGAAGGUCCCCCACACUGGAACUGAGACGCGGUCCAGACUCCUACGGGAGGCAGCAGUGAGGAAUAUUGGUCAAUGGACGGAAGUCUGAACCAGCCAAGUAGCGUGCAGGAUGACGGCCCUCCGGGUUGUAAACUGCUUUUAGUUGGGAAUAACGGCGGGGACGCGUCCCCGA